UAACAUUACAAAAGCUGCCCCUCUUCCUAG
Molecule: non-coding RNA, 30 nt
Filed under: Mus musculus (house mouse)
Lineage: Eukaryota; Metazoa; Chordata; Mammalia; Rodentia; Muridae
Source: RNAcentral